Molecule: ribosomal RNA, 1383 nt
Filed under: Helicobacter pylori
Lineage: Bacteria; Pseudomonadati; Campylobacterota; Epsilonproteobacteria; Campylobacterales; Helicobacteraceae
Description: 16S ribosomal RNA
Rfam family: Bacterial small subunit ribosomal RNA
Source: RNAcentral
ACGCUGGCGGCGUGCCUAAUACAUGCAAGUCGAACGAUGAAGCUUCUAGCUUGCUAGAGUGCUGAUUAGUGGCGCACGGGUGAGUAACGCAUAGGUCAUGUGCCUCUUAGUUUGGGAUAGCCAUUGGAAACGAUGAUUAAUACCAGAUACUCCCUACGGGGGAAAGAUUUAUCGCUAAGAGAUCAGCCUAUGUCCUAUCAGCUUGUUGGUAAGGUAAUGGCUUACCAAGGCUAUGACGGGUAUCCGGCCUGAGAGGGUGAACGGACACACUGGAACUGAGACACGGUCCAGACUCCUACGGGAGGCAGCAGUAGGGAAUAUUGCUCAAUGGGGGAAACCCUGAAGCAGCAACGCCGCGUGGAGGAUGAAGGUUUUAGGAUUGUAAACUCCUUUUGUUAGAGAAGAUAAUGACGGUAUCUAACGAAUAAGCACCGGCUAACUCCGUGCCAGCAGCCGCGGUAAUACGGAGGGUGCAAGCGUUACUCGGAAUCACUGGGCGUAAAGAGCGCGUAGGCGGGAUAGUCAGUCAGGUGUGAAAUCCUAUGGCUUAACCAUAGAACUGCAUUUGAAACUACUAUUCUAGAGUGUGGGAGAGGUAGGUGGAAUUCUUGGUGUAGGGGUAAAAUCCGUAGAGAUCAAGAGGAAUACUCAUUGCGAAGGCGACCUGCUGGAACAUUACUGACGCUGAUUGCGCGAAAGCGUGGGGAGCAAACAGGAUUAGAUACCCUGGUAGUCCACGCCCUAAACGAUGGAUGCUAGUUGUUGGAGGGCUUAGUCUCUCCAGUAAUGCAGCUAACGCAUUAAGCAUCCCGCGUGGGGAGUACGGUCGCAAGAUUAAAACUCAAAGGAAUAGACGGGGACCCGCACAAGCGGUGGAGCAUGUGGUUUAAUUCGAGGAUACACGAAGAACCUUACCUAGGCUUGACAUUGAGAGAAUCCGCUAGAAAUAGUGGAGUGUCUAGCUUGCUAGACCUUGAAAACAGGUGCUGCACGGCUGUCGUCAGCUCGUGUCGUGAGAUGUUGGGUUAAGUCCCGCAACGAGCGCAACCCCCUUUCUUAGUUGCUAACAGGUCAUGCUGAGAACUCUAAGGAUACUGCCUCUGUAAGGAGGAGGAAGGUGGGGACGACGUCAAGUCAUCAUGGCCCUUACGCCUAGGGCUACACACGUGCUACAAUGGGGUGCACAAAGAGAAGCAAUACUGCGAAGUGGAGCCAAUCUUCAAAACGCCUCUCAGUUCGGAUUGUAGGCUGCAACUCGCCUGCAUGAAGCUGGAAUCGCUAGUAAUCGCAAAUCAGCCAUGUUGCGGUGAAUACGUUCCCGGGUCUUGUACUCACCGCCCGUCACACCAUGGGAGUUGUGUUUGCCUUAAGUCAGGAUGCUAA